This 270-nucleotide ribosomal RNA is filed under the name uncultured archaeon. RNAcentral's name for it is "partial 16S ribosomal RNA". It matches the Rfam family "Archaeal small subunit ribosomal RNA", at positions 477 to 747 of the family's 1478-position model. The record is from RNAcentral.
CAGCGGCCCUAGUGGUGAUCGUUAUUAUUGGGCCUAAAGCGUCCGUAGCCGGUUCGGUAAAUCUCUGGGUAAAUCGUUGGGCUUAACUCAACGAAUUCUGGGGAGACUGCCGAACUUGGGACCGGGAGAGGUCGGAGGUACUCCAGGGGUAGGGGUGAAAUCCUGUAAUCCUUGGGGGACCACCGGUGGCGAAAGUGUCCGACCAGAACGGGUCCGACGGUAAGGGACGAAGCCCUGGGGCGCGAACCGGAUUAGAUACCCGAGUAGUCC